UUUCCUACGGGACGCAGCAGUGGGGAAUAUUGCGCAAUGGGCGAAAGCCUGACGCAGCGACGCCGCGUGAGGGAUGAAGGUCUUCGGAUCGUAAACCUCUGUCAGCAGGGAAGAACGGUCACUGUGCUAAUCAGCAGUGAAUUGACGGUACCUGCAAAGGAAGCACCGGCUAACUCCGUGCCAGCAGCCGCGGUAAUACGUAGGAGGCAAGCGUUAUCCGGAAUGACUGGGCGUAAAGGGUGCGUAGGUGGUUUGACAAGUUGGUAGCGUAACUCCGGGGCUCAACCUCGGCACUACUACCAAAA
RNAcentral lists this ribosomal RNA (305 nucleotides) under uncultured bacterium. Its description in RNAcentral is "bacterial SSU rRNA". It matches the Rfam family "Bacterial small subunit ribosomal RNA", at positions 335 to 632 of the family's 1533-position model. The record is from RNAcentral.